RNAcentral lists this ribosomal RNA (1016 nucleotides) under Acinetobacter baumannii 323408. Its description in RNAcentral is "bacterial LSU rRNA". It matches the Rfam family "Bacterial large subunit ribosomal RNA", at positions 1914 to 2925 of the family's 2925-position model. The record is from RNAcentral. Lineage: Bacteria; Pseudomonadati; Pseudomonadota; Gammaproteobacteria; Moraxellales; Moraxellaceae.
GAAGCCCCAGUAAACGGCGGCCGUAACUAUAACGGUCCUAAGGUAGCGAAAUUCCUUGUCGGGUAAGUUCCGACCUGCACGAAUGGCAUAAUGAUGGCGGCGCUGUCUCCAGCAGAGGCUCAGUGAAAUCGAAAUCGCUGUGAAGAUGCAGUGUACCCGCGGCUAGACGGAAAGACCCCGUGAACCUUUACUGCAGCUUGACACUGAACUUUGACCUUACUUGUGUAGGAUAGGUGGGAGGCUUUGAAGCUGGAACGCUAGUUCCAGUGGAGCCGUCCUUGAAAUACCACCCUGGUAAUGUUGAGGUUCUAACUCUGUCCCGUGAUCCGGGACGAGGACCGUGUCUGGUGGGUAGUUUGACUGGGGCGGUCUCCUCCUAAAGAGUAACGGAGGAGUACGAAGGUGCGCUCAGCGUGGUCGGAAAUCACGCGUAGAGUAUAAAGGCAAAAGCGCGCUUAACUGCGAGACCCACAAGUCGAGCAGGUACGAAAGUAGGUCUUAGUGAUCCGGUGGUUCUGUAUGGAAGGGCCAUCGCUCAACGGAUAAAAGGUACUCUGGGGAUAACAGGCUGAUACCGCCCAAGAGUUCAUAUCGACGGCGGUGUUUGGCACCUCGAUGUCGGCUCAUCUCAUCCUGGGGCUGAAGCAGGUCCCAAGGGUAUGGCUGUUCGCCAUUUAAAGAGGUACGCGAGCUGGGUUUAGAACGUCGUGAGACAGUUCGGUCCCUAUCUACCGUGGGCGCUGGAAAUUUGAGAGGAUCUGCUCCUAGUACGAGAGGACCAGAGUGGACGAACCUCUGGUGUACCGGUUGUGACGCCAGUCGCAUCGCCGGGUAGCUAUGUUCGGAAGGGAUAACCGCUGAAAGCAUCUAAGCGGGAAGCCUACCUCAAGAUAAGAUUUCCCUAGGACUUUAUGUCCUCUAAAGAGCCGUUCGAGACUAGGACGUUGAUAGGUUGGAUGUGGAAGCAUAGUGAUAUGUGAAGCUGACCAAUACUAAUUGCUCGUGAGGCUUGACUA